This 379-nucleotide ribosomal RNA is filed under the name uncultured bacterium. RNAcentral's name for it is "bacterial SSU rRNA". It matches the Rfam family "Bacterial small subunit ribosomal RNA", at positions 521 to 896 of the family's 1533-position model. The record is from RNAcentral.
UAAUACGGGGGGAGCAAGCGUUGUUCGGAUUUACUGGGCGUAAAGGGCGCGUAGGCGGCCAGCACAAGUCGGUUGUGAAAUCUCCGGGCUUAACUCGGAAAGGUCAACCGAUACUGUGCGGCUAGAGUGCGGAAGGGGCAACUGGAAUUCUCGGUGUAGCGGUGAAAUGCGUAGAUAUCGAGAGGAACACCUGCGGCGAAGGCGGGUUGCUGGGCCGACACUGACGCUGAUGCGCGAAAGCCAGGGGAGCGAACGGGAUUAGAUACCCCGGUAGUCCUGGCCUUAAACGAUGGAUGCUUGGUGUCUGGAGUUUUAUAGUCUCCGGGUGCCGUAGCUAACGCGUUAAGCAUCCCGCCUGGGGAGUACGGUCGCAAGACUG